Molecule: long non-coding RNA, 1895 nt
Organism: Hordeum vulgare subsp. vulgare (domesticated barley)
Lineage: Eukaryota; Viridiplantae; Streptophyta; Magnoliopsida; Poales; Poaceae
Exons: 3
Source: RefSeq, a predicted model, not a curated record
CAACCGCGCCUUCGCCUUCCUUUUAUGCGAAGCACAUGCUGGUGACAUCGUACAACCGUUCAACACCACCGUCGACCUCCCCCACCUUAGCCCUAGCAUGUCGCCACGGCCCAAGCUCGCCGCCGCCAAUCUCGUUGAUCCCACCGGUUGUGGGCACAUGAGCAACUGCCAACUCUCCUUUAUCAUGCAAGCUCACGACAUCACAUGCUCUAGCAAAUUCGACGCAUCGACCAUCGCCACCAUCCUUGACGUUGGUCGACCUCCACACCCCCCGAGGAGAUGGGCUAAAAGGGAAGAAAUCACUUGGGAGAAAAGAAAGGAAGGAGAUUGGAGAACAAAGAAGUCACCAGGAGGCGCCAGGAAGCAACCAAAGCCAAAGAUGAUGUUCCAUGCGAGCGCACGUGGCAUGGGAACCGAGGUAGGUGGUCCACGUGAACAACAUCUGUAAAGGGGACCCGUCGAAAUGUUAACAGAAGAGUGUCGAGCACAGCAAGAACCUCAUCAUCAUCAUCUCCAUCCUCAAAACCUAGCUGCACCCAUCUUCAUCUCCAUAGCCAUCUCCAGCACCAUAGUGCUCUCUCAUCUAAUUCAUACUUGUAAUCAUGCAUCACACAAGGCAUGUGCUGUAAGACAUAUUGCAAUCAAUCAAUCCCAAGAUGUGUUCUUUAAUGAUUUCUUCUCGCGAUAUGAUUUGCAUGUGUGUGUAGUCCGGUAAGGUAUGGGGUGAGGCAUGAUGUAUUUGGUGAAUGGACUAAUGGGAGUCUUUGAUAUAACGUCUCGUAUGUGUAAAAUAAAAGUGUUUUGUGAAGUGUCUCUUGUCUUAUCCGCGAUCUUCAUCCCUGCAGGUACCCAAGAUCAUGGAGGUUGAGCACCAAUGAGGCUAGGAGUAAGGGGACCGUGAAGUGUUACAUCAAUCACCGGUGACAGGCAACCGCGUGAGACAGAUAGGGACUUCGGUAGGACAAGUGAUUCUUGAUGCAGGACUCGAGCCGAUCAAGAUAUAAUUUGGAUACAUCAUCCACGCCGAUAUGUAGCAAGCACCUCUUGAUGGGUGACUUCCUGAGCACAAAGUAAUAUCAUUUUUAUUCCAAAACCAAUACAUGCUUGUAAGCAUUAAGACCUCAUCCCCAUACCUUAUUUUUAUUUGUAAGUGUUGAGUCACAAUUUGCUUGUUGAUCUGGUCAAAAGCUGGAUUGAGACUUUUGCAAAAAGCUUGCUAGAGACUAUUGGUUCAAGGGAGUCUUCCUCUUAUGGUUCGAUACCUAGGGUCACCUAUGGGAAAAUAGGUGCGGGAUACCCUUUCUUGUUCUAAUUUUGGAUCAAUAAAAAGGAGAUAUCAAGCCCUUUUUUUGGCGACAUUCCCGGAGAGGAGUUUAGUAUUCCUAGUCUUUGUGUUUAGAGUUUUUUGUUCAAGUUAAUUUUCAGUUUUAUUUUAGUUUCUAGUUUUUAGUUUAAGAUUUAUUUUGUUGCAACUCUUUUUAGUUGAGAAACCAAAAAGUUACCAUGGCUCAUAAUCUUGGGAGUUUUAAUACUCCUAGCAAAUAUUUCAUGCGUGAAUCAAUAACACAACGUGAUGUUUGAUAACCCACACGUAUAGGGGAUCACAACGGUUUUCACACAUAGUGUUACACCCUAAUUUAUUGACUUGACACAAGGGUAGCCAAAAAAUAUUUAUUUUUGUCGGGGUACACAAAUAGGGGUGUUUAUUUCCCCCUAACUUGUGCAAGGAUGAUAAGCCACCGACCCGAUGACCUAAGGUUGUCGGGGAAUGCUACCACUCCAUCAAGGCCCGUCCAGGAUAGAAAAGCUGCUCUACGAGAGGUUGAUACGUCUCUGUCGUAUCUAAUUUUCCAAACUCUUUAGCCCUUGUUUUGGACUCUAAUUUGCAUGAUUUG